GAUGAACGCUGACAGAAUGCUUAACACAUGCAAGUCGAUGGGGAAGUGGUGCUUGCCCCAUGGCAACCAUGGCGGACGGGUGAGUAACGCGUAAGGGACUUACCUGCAGGACUGGGAUAACAGGGGGAAACUCCUGACAAGACCGGAUAAUGUCAUGGAGCUGCAUGGCUUUAUGAUGAAAGGAGACGCCUGCGGAGAGCCUUGCGUCCUAUUAGCUAGUUGGUGAGGUAAUGGCUCACCAAGGCGAAGAUAGGUAGCCGGCCUGAGAGGGUGGACGGCCACAAGGGGACUGAGAUACGGCACUUACUCCUACGGGAGGAAGCAGUGGGGAAUAUUGGACAAUGGGGGCAACCCUGAUCCAGCAAUUCUGUGUGCACGAAGAAGGUUUUCGGAUUGUAAAGUGCUUUCAGCAGGGAAGAAGUAAGUGACGGUACCUGCAGAAGAAGCGACGGCUAAAUACGUG
Molecule: ribosomal RNA, 463 nt
Filed under: uncultured bacterium
Lineage: Bacteria
Description: partial 16S ribosomal RNA
Rfam family: Bacterial small subunit ribosomal RNA
Source: RNAcentral